This is a long non-coding RNA of Danaus plexippus (monarch butterfly), 1015 nucleotides long. RefSeq lists it as uncharacterized. The transcript has 2 exons. Lineage: Eukaryota; Metazoa; Arthropoda; Insecta; Lepidoptera; Nymphalidae. The record is from RefSeq and is a predicted model, not a curated record.
ACAGGUGUCACGCGAUUUUUUACUUACAUUCAGAACUACGAAUAGAAGAAUACGGAUUUAUCUUCUGUUUGACAAAUUCCAAAACAUCAGUCGCAGACUGUUUGAAAACACGCACACUGGAAAUAAUAAUAUUGCUUCCCAGCAGGAGACCAACACGUGACCUUGGUCGUGCUCAAGGACGAGUGGUGCCCGUGUGCGGUGAUGAGCAUCUGCGGCAGCUGCGAUCCACAGAACGGCCGAGUACCCGCCAGACCACAACGAACGAGCCAGGCGGGCACAUUUCGACUCUAUGGACGAUUUGGUGGAUACGCACACGCACACUGUGUUGCACUAUUAAAAAUAUGCUUUAUAUAUAUAUAUAUAUAUUAUAUCGGAUGAUACUAAUUGAAAAAUUGCACAUAAAUUUCAACUCUACCUAUUUACGAGAUACGAGUUUUUGCUUUACAUAGAGAUAAUUUAUCUCACGUCACAGUUAUAAGAAUCGGUGAAUUAAUUUUUUUAUAUAUUUUAAAUCUUAUGAGUUUCAUUAUUAACAAUAUUUUCAAAUUUUGCAAUUAAAAUGAAGUAAAUCAAUAUUUUGUCGGUCACAGGUCUGAAUUGUUUAAAUGUUGAUUUAAUUGCUUAACUCACAUUAAAUGAAUGCUCACCUCACUGUUUCUAACAACAGGUGGUACUUCCACCUCCAAGCCUUUCAAGAUGGCGGCGACCCUUUCCAGGGAUAAAGAGAAUCCCACAGACGUACAGUUAAAUUCCGUGUUAUUGUCCUUUACAGCUCUCGCGACUUUCCAGAACUCUUCCACCAAAUUGUCAUACCUGAUGAAAUUAAUUAUCAAGUAUUAUAAAAGGUGCGAGCGACAGGAGGGGCGCGGUCAACACGUGCCCAUAUAAAUCAAUAAUUCCAUUGUUCGGACCAGAUUGAUGUUAACACACAAGAUAUAAAUAUCCUAAGAUAGGUCCGAUGAUAAGUAAAGUAAAAUUUAAAUCGUACACAUUUAUUUUUCAGGCGACUAGACGA